This 2314-nucleotide long non-coding RNA is filed under the name Lynx pardinus (Iberian lynx). The record is from RNAcentral. Lineage: Eukaryota; Metazoa; Chordata; Mammalia; Carnivora; Felidae.
CGGAGACACGCCCAGCAUGAAGCGGGGCUGACCGAGAGCCUCACCUGGCCACUCCGCCAUAAUCCAAACCUUCUUCUCCCCGGAACUUGACCAUCAGUCGCUUCUUCAGAUCCUUUGGCCGCAUCUUCAUGAUCUGGCGAUAAGACUCCUGCAUGGCAAAAAAAAAAAAAAAAAGACAGCGUCAGAGAGAAGAACGGGUCGCAUUCUUACUGUUCUACAGAGAUUCAAGGUUGUUGGUAAUGGAGCCCGAAUCAGGAUAAAUAGUCAUUUAAAUCUGAGUUUGAUCUGAUUCCUAGUCAGAAUGUUGGUCUGAUGUCCAGUGUCUGAUGUGGGGUAGCCCCUGUCGCCUGAUCUCCCCGGGUGUCCCUCAGGAACAAGGAGCUCGUGCCGGGCAACGUCGUACCCAAAGGAAACGCACACCCCCAUUUUCAGCACAAUCGCUAAAGGCCUAGGGACAGACAUCCUCACCAGAGUCCAUUUUCUCUACACAAAUUGAUUUUAAUGAGGCCAUACUAAGAACGACUUGUGUAUUGUAACCAAAAGGAAGAUGUCACUGGAGAAUCUGAAUAGUAAAAGAAUUCGGAGCCUGUUUUUGUAUCUGAGGUGAAAAAUCCCAUAAUUUCCAGGGGGUCAAAAAAAGCAAAAAAGUAUUUAAAGUAAGAUCUAUGGGGGAAUGCCUGGGUGGCUCAGUCUGUUAAGCGUCGGACUUCGGCUCAGGUCAUGAUCUCAUAGCGUGUGAGUUCAAGCCCCGUGUCAGGCUCUGUGCUGACAGCUCAGAGCCUGGAGCCUGCUUGGGAUUCUGUGUCUCCCUCUCUCUUGGCCCCUCCCCCGCUAGCGCUCUGUCUUUCUCUCUGAAAAAUAAAUUAAAAUGUUUUAAAAAUAAUUUUUUUAAUAAAGUAAGACCUAUGGGAGCUUACCCAAAACACAGAACACAGGCGGCUAGCCUAACCUUCAGCUACUUUUUUGUUUUAAGUGCAACUAGCUAAACGCUUGUAGAUAUUUUCAGUGAUAAGGCACUUCAGACUCUUCCCCUGCUUUCAAUUUAAUGUAAUUCAAGCCUUCCCAUCCCCAGAGGGAAAGGGGAUGCUGAGUGGAAAUGAUCUAGCAGCAAAAUGUGAAGAAUGCAGCUCUUUUCCCUCCCUGCUCAAUGGCCAUUCUGGCCAAUCCAUCCAUUCGCCUAACCGUCGUCUGUGGCCGAGCAUCGAACAUGGCCCUGGGCGCUUUCAGCGCCCAGUGAGGACGGCACUGGGCUGCCUGCCGCUGUGUCUUCAGGUCUCACCCAGCCUCUUUUGAUCACUCCUGCCCAUGAUUCCACAAAGGCAGGCAGGACGCAGCCCAAACAUCACCGAGACUUUACCUUCCAAUCACCUGCCUUGAGGAAAGGGCCCUGUCUACAGGAGGUCCCGCCUGUUUGGUGGCCUUGAUCCCACAGGGGAGCUGUCUGAAAGACAACCCUUUCCAGGAACCAUCGGAUCUUCCCAUUUCCAGAAAAGACAAUAAAGUGGCCACUUGGCCCCGAAGCUUCUCUGAGGAGGCGAUGCCCUUAGGUGAGAUGGCAAGAGCAGAAGGAGGGAUUGGUUCUGGAGAAACCAUGCGGACUGCAGGAAUAUAUAACCGGCACACAGAAGAGGAUUUACAGUGUUACUUAGUGCUAGUUUCUGUGUGAGUCUCUGUAUUUUCGUUUCAGAGGCUCUCUAGCUUUUAAACUCCUACCACAGGAGGAAGUCCAGUCUGUCUCUCUAUAUGGCCAUCAAUCCUGAAAAAGCCCUGCAAUUCGCUGAGUGAUAAAAUCGGUACCCGAAACACCAAACAGAAAGAACCUGCUGUCUGUCAACAGGGUUUAACAGUCUAUGCCUCCCUGCUGGUCGCGCCGAAUUCCAUACCUCAAAUAUUUCUUCUCUGGACACUUCGAUGCGGCAAUGACCAGCUUGGGGUUGCUGAAGCGAAAGCUCGUGUCUGAGGACCUUCAGCUUCUGGACUAAAUCCCUCUCGUAUCUCUGGGCGGGAAGCUCCUCAUCCUCCACCGAGCCCUCGCUGGGCAAUGGCAGCGGCUGGCUGGGCUCCUUUAGUUGGCACUGGUGACUUGAGAAGAACAGAAACAUCAAGGUCACCCCAAAAGUAGCGGCCCAGGGAGCCACAAGCAAUGCCCCCCACUGGUGAGGGACUGAGAAGCGGGCUCAUCACACAGAACUGCAAGAAGAGAUGUUCCCUCUGCUGACAUAACCAUGUAUGAAAAUACAUAAACACUGACAGUGGCCACCACUGGCCUAAAUACAGAGGUCCAAAUAUGGCUUCAAUCAAGAAGAUACCCCAG